GAUUUAUAAAGAUGGGCGGAGAGAAUAGGCUCUAUGAAACCCGGGCAACCAAACGAGCUCUCGUAAAGGUGCCAAUACCUACCUGCCAGUGUGCAGGAAUGAUAAACC
Molecule: non-coding RNA, 108 nt
Filed under: Leadbetterella byssophila
Lineage: Bacteria; Pseudomonadati; Bacteroidota; Cytophagia; Cytophagales; Leadbetterellaceae
Also listed under: 1 other name
Description: SAM-I sequence
Rfam family: SAM riboswitch aptamer (S box leader)
About the family: The SAM riboswitch is found upstream of a number of genes which code for proteins involved in methionine or cysteine biosynthesis in Gram-positive bacteria. The SAM riboswitch acts at the level of transcription termination control.
Source: RNAcentral